This 1431-nucleotide ribosomal RNA is filed under the name uncultured organism. RNAcentral describes it as "16S ribosomal RNA". It matches the Rfam family "Bacterial small subunit ribosomal RNA". The record is from RNAcentral.
GCUUAACACAUGCAAGUCGAGGGGCAGCAUGGUCUUAGCUUGCUAAGGCCGAUGGCGACCGGCGCACGGGUGAGUAACACGUAUCCAACCUGCCGUCUACUCUUGGACAGCCUUCUGAAAGGAAGAUUAAUACAAGAUGGCAUCAUGAGUCCGCAUGUUCACAUGAUUAAAGGUAUUCCGGUAGACGAUGGGGAUGCGUUCCAUUAGAUAGUAGGCGGGGUAACGGCCCACCUAGUCUUCGAUGGAUAGGGGUUCUGAGAGGAAGGUCCCCCACAUUGGAACUGAGACACGGUCCAAACUCCUACGGGAGGCAGCAGUGAGGAAUAUUGGUCAAUGGGCGAGAGCCUGAACCAGCCAAGUAGCGUGAAGGAUGACUGCCCUAUGGGUUGUAAACUUCUUUUAUAAAGGAAUAAAGUCGGGUAUGGAUACCCGUUUGCAUGUACUUUAUGAAUAAGGAUCGGCUAACUCCGUGCCAGCAGCCGCGGUAAUACGGAGGAUCCGAGCGUUAUCCGGAUUUAUUGGGUUUAAAGGGAGCGUAGAUGGAUGUUUAAGUCAGUUGUGAAAGUUUGCGGCUCAACCGUAAAAUUGCAGUUGAUACUGGAUAUCUUGAGUGCAGUUGAGGCAGGCGGAAUUCGUGGUGUAGCGGUGAAAUGCUUAGAUAUCACGAAGAACUCCGAUUGCGAAGGCAGCCUGCUAAGCUGCAACUGACAUUGAGGCUCGAAAGUGUGGGUAUCAAACAGGAUUAGAUACCCUGGUAGUCCACACGGUAAACGAUGAAUACUCGCUGUUUGCGAUAAACUGCAAGCGGCCAAGCGAAAGCGUUAAGUAUUCCACCUGGGGAGUACGCCGGCAACGGUGAAACUCAAAGGAAUUGACGGGGGCCCGCACAAGCGGAGGAACAUGUGGUUUAAUUCGAUGAUACGCGAGGAACCUUACCCGGGCUUAAAUUGCAGAUGAAUUACGGUGAAAGCCGUAAGCCGCAAGGCAUCUGUGAAGGUGCUGCAUGGUUGUCGUCAGCUCGUGCCGUGAGGUGUCGGCUUAAGUGCCAUAACGAGCGCAACCCUUGUUGUCAGUUACUAACAGGUUCCGCUGAGGACUCUGACAAGACUGCCAUCGUAAGAUGUGAGGAAGGUGGGGAUGACGUCAAAUCAGCACGGCCCUUACGUCCGGGGCUACACACGUGUUACAAUGGGGGGUACAGAGGGCCGCUACCACGCGAGUGGAUGCCAAUCCCCAAAACCUCUCUCAGUUCGGACUGGAGUCUGCAACCCGACUCCACGAAGCUGGAUUCGCUAGUAAUCGCGCAUCAGCCACGGCGCGGUGAAUACGUUCCCGGGCCUUGUACACACCGCCCGUCAAGCCAUGGGAGCCGGGGGUACCUGAAGUGCGUAACCGCGAGGAGCGCCCUAGGGUAAAACUGGUGACUGGGGC